AUGUAACUCAUGGACUAGGUCUUGAGUACUAGUGUCUGUAUUUUCAUGAGAGUAGACAAAAGAAGAAGGCAAAUCAUUCUUGGUGGCUGUUUUUCAUAAGGUCAGAUAAUGAAAUACAAGUGCAAAGAAAAAACAGUGUGAUAGUAUCAAUUGCAUAUGUGAGCGAAGGUCAACCAACUGAAAGGAAGCAGCUUUCACAACUGGCUGGAGGAAGUUUCCUGACGUGGUGGCAAGAACAACUCCAACUGUGAUCAUUUCUGAAAAGCAACCUGUUUGCUACAGAUAGAAGAUUUCGUUUGUAAAAUAAACUUAUCUGGGGGAAGGGAGGAAGGAGCAGAAUUGCAGAAUUAAUAGGACAUAGCAUAUCAGUAAGAUUUCAGAGGCUGCUGUAAAUACCUAGAGUAGGAAGAAGUGAUACAUUCAUUUCGUCAGGGAGGGGAUGGGUAAAAUUUUCUACUGUUUUUCUGGCAUUAAUUGCAACUCCCUUCUGCUGCUCCGUGCAGCUCUCCCUGGCAUGGCCCUGGGCCCUCUAGCGGACCUGUGCUGCUUGCAGCAAUUUCUCUGCCAAAACGCCGCUUCUGUUGCUAUGUUGUUUGUUAGGGCUACACUACUGUAUGUGAAAAUCGACACAGACAAUGUUGCUGAGUUGUAAGUCUGAGAUUCAUAUAUUUUAAGCAGCAUUUAUUUCUUGCACAAAGUACGUAACCUCGGCUAUAGGUCAGGUUAUGCGGUGGUCCUGGCAGAGGCCUUGUUCUAAAUAAUAUGCUAUGCUGAACAGUAUCAGACCAUGCCUACAGAAUCAGUUACUUAUCAGUGGUAUUUGAACAUCUACACUUCAAAAUAUCAGUGAUUUACUUUUUCCAGUGAUUCUACUUGUUUUCUUUUUCACGUGUUCUAUUGUCUAAAAUAAAGCCUCUUUCAAAAUGUAAGCACAAUAGAAAAUGAUAAAGAAUAAAUGCAAUAUAUUG
RNAcentral lists this long non-coding RNA (968 nucleotides) under Gallus gallus (chicken). Its description in RNAcentral is "lncRNA (ENSGALG00010021808.1)". The record is from RNAcentral. Lineage: Eukaryota; Metazoa; Chordata; Aves; Galliformes; Phasianidae.